Molecule: ribosomal RNA, 467 nt
Filed under: uncultured bacterium
Lineage: Bacteria
Description: partial 16S ribosomal RNA
Rfam family: Bacterial small subunit ribosomal RNA
Source: RNAcentral
GACGAACGCUGGCGGCGUGCUUAACACAUGCAAGUCGAACGGAAAGGCCUCUUUCGGGGGGUACUCGAGUGGCGAACGGGUGAGUAACACGUGAGUAACCUGCCCUUGACUUUGGGAUAACUUCAGGAAACUGGGGCUAAUACCGGAUAGGAGCUCCUGCUGCAUGGUGGGGGUUGGAAAGUUUCGGCGGUUGGGGAUGGACUGGCGGCUUAUCAGCUUGUUGGUGGGGUAGUGGCUUACCAAGGCUUUGACGGGUAGCCGGCCUGAGAGGGUGACCGGCGACAUUGGGACUGAGAUGCGGCCCAGACUCCUACGGGAGGCAGCAGUGGGGAAUAUUGCACCAUGGGUGGAGGGCUGAUGCAGCAGCGCCGUGUGCGGGAUGACGGCCUUCGGGUUGUAAACCGCUUUCGCUCAUGACGAAGCUUUGUGUGACGGUAGUGGGUAAAGAAGCACCGGCUAACUACGUG